UAAACCCGACAAUUUUGUCGGUUAUCUUUAUUUGUCUUUUGAAAACUUUUCUCUUUGUUUGAAUGAAGCUGGCACGCCUCAUCCUUCUCCAUCUUAAGCGCGUCAAACGCCCGAAUCGCUCAAUUCGCACCGCGUCAUUCACGCGAAUCGCGCCGCAGGGAGUCAGUUCGCGUCUUUGCAUUGACUUAACAUGUAAAUCACUCGCGCUUAUCGCUUCAUUCGCGUCUGGUGUGAACGCAGCAUUAGCCUUUAUGUAACCAUCGUGUUGCCCGGGGUGACGCGUCUUCAAAUGCUUUAUCAAGUUAUUUGUGUUAAAGUUGCCAAUACUUGUGCCACUCGAAAUUGCAGCAUUGCAUAUGAGACAUGUCGCCGUUUUACUGGUCUGAAAUACUGCCAAACAGCAGACAUACUGCUAGCGCGUUUUCACUUCUCCGCUGCUCUAAACAGUGGUUGCUUGUGGCAACGCAGCACAACUUCCUGUGUUUGCAUUGUGAGCCGCGAAGAAUAAUUGAUUUCCGAUUUGCUGCGUUAAGCAAAGAUAGCGGGCACAACUAUGUGUUGUUUAAGAAAAUGGUAUCGGAUCGGUACGUGAGUUUAAAUACUCGCCGAUACCGAUGCCAGAAAUUUUUGUGGUAUCGGUGGUAUUUCCGAUACUAGUAUCGGAAUCGGAACAACCCUAAAUACAAUCCAACCCCAACGUUCAACCCCCCCAAAGUUGAAACCAAAUCUACGCCCUUUAAUUCAAGUGUGUUUGAUCAGGGUUGUAGCUAUACUGUGUGAGGACAACUGCACUCAAGGACCAGUGUUAGAACUGGUACACCAUUGUCAUUUAUGAAAACAAAAUGGCGGCGCCAUGUGUGGAAACAUACAGAUUCAGGGGACGGAAAUAUUAUAAUUAGAUCCCCUUCCUACGUCACAAGCAGAAUCCAAACCAUGAUUGAUGCUGGGCCAGCUUCACACAUUACUUCUGGCUAUACACACAGUGAAGCUUGUGUUUGUCUCACCUGAAUGGCUGAGUGAUGGACUGCGCGUCAUUACCGACGAUGUACGUUAGUCAAAACGGAGCCUGAAGACUUGGCACGCACCUAUUCUAAUGGCUCCGAGAUGGCCUGUAAUACAGUUCUAUGGAUGUUUUGCCCGCCUCCGGUCUCCGUGACAGUCACGUGACUGAAAACUAUGAACUGACUGGAUGAUUGUGGUUUGCUUUUGGUGGAUCUCACGUGAGUGACAGGUUGUCCCACCCUCCCGCCAGUUAUUUGGAUUAAAGUUUACGAGGGCACAUGAUUUUUUUUUUUUUAAAUGACGU
Long non-coding RNA from Megalobrama amblycephala (Wuchang bream), 1306 nucleotides. RefSeq lists it as uncharacterized. Lineage: Eukaryota; Metazoa; Chordata; Actinopteri; Cypriniformes; Xenocyprididae. The record is from RefSeq and is a predicted model, not a curated record. The transcript is spliced from 3 exons.